This 489-nucleotide ribosomal RNA is filed under the name uncultured bacterium. Its description in RNAcentral is "bacterial SSU rRNA". It matches the Rfam family "Bacterial small subunit ribosomal RNA", at positions 28 to 507 of the family's 1533-position model. The record is from RNAcentral.
GAUGAACGCUAGCUACAGGCUUAACACAUGCAAGUCGAGGGGCAGCAUGAACUUAGCUUGCUAAGUUUGAUGGCGACCGGCGCACGGGUGAGUAACGCGUAUGCAACCUGCCCUUCACAGGGGGAUAACCGGGAGAAAUUCCGACUAAUACCGCAUACGUCCUCCGGGGGCAUCCCCUGGGGAUGAAAGAUUUAUUGGCUAAGGAUGGGCAUGCGUAAUAUUAGGAAGUUGGUGAGGUAACGGCUCACCAAUCCGACGAUAUUUAGGGGUUCUGAGAGGAAGGUCCCCCACAUUGGAACUGAGACACGGUCCAAACUCCUACGGGAGGCAGCAGUGAGGAAUAUUGGUCAAUGGGCGGAAGCCUGAACCAGCCAAGUAGCGUGCAGGACGACGGCCCUAUGGGUUGUAAACUGCUUUCAGUCGGGAAUAAUUCGUCGGUCGUGACCGACGUUGCAGGUACCGUCAUAAGAAGGACCGGCUAAUUCCGUG